GAUACCGCCAAGAUGGCUGGGUGUCUGAAGAUCACAGAUCCCCGAGCCUUGACACUGGCCUAUAGGUUGCCCUUGAAAAGCCAGGAGUACCCCAUUGUGCACUACCUGGCCUUCAUCCCUGUCGUCGAUGGUGACUUCAUUCCUGAUGAUCCCAUCAACCUGUACGACAACGCUGCUGACAUUGACUACUUAGCGGGUAUUAAUGACAUGGAUGGCCACCUGUUUGCUACAGUUGACGUGCCCGCCAUCGACAAGGCCAAGCAGGAUGUCACAGAGGAGGACUUCUACAGGCUAGUCAGUGGACACACUGUCGCCAAGGGGCUUAAAGGCACCCAAGCCACCUUUGACAUCUACACUGAGUCCUGUGUUCAAUUCCCAGCACCCACAUUGCUGCUUACAGCUGUCUGAUUCCGUCUACUGGUGUGCAGAUGUACACGCAGACAAAGCGCCUAUAUAUAGAAAAUUCAUACAUAAAUAAAGUCUUAUAAGCCUUG
RNAcentral lists this long non-coding RNA (494 nucleotides) under Rattus norvegicus (Norway rat). RNAcentral describes it as "long non-coding RNA NONRATT019113". The record is from RNAcentral. Lineage: Eukaryota; Metazoa; Chordata; Mammalia; Rodentia; Muridae.